RNAcentral lists this ribosomal RNA (242 nucleotides) under uncultured bacterium. RNAcentral's name for it is "partial 16S ribosomal RNA". It matches the Rfam family "Bacterial small subunit ribosomal RNA", at positions 527 to 765 of the family's 1533-position model. The record is from RNAcentral.
GGAGGAUCCGAGCGUUAUCCGGAUUUAUUGGGUUUAAAGGGAGCGUAGAUGGAUGUUUAAGUCAGUUGUGAAAGUUUGCGGCUCAACCGUAAAAUUGCAGUUGAUACUGGAUGUCUUGAGUGCAGUUGAGGCAGGCGGAAUUCGUGGUGUAGCGGUGAAAUGCUUAGAUAUCACGAAGAACUCCGAUUGCGAAGGCAGCCCUGCUAAGCUGCAACUUGACAUUGAGGCCUCGAAAGUGGGGG